GCUGCAUGGCUGUCGUCAGCUCGUGUUGUGAAAUGUUGGGUUAAGUCCCGCAACGAGCGCAACCCUUAUCCUUUGUUGCCAGCGGUCCGGCCGGGAACUCAAAGGAGACUGCCAGUGAUAAACUGGAGGAAGGUGGGGAUGACGUCAAGUCAUCAUGGCCCUUACGACCAGGGCUACACACGUGCUACAAUGGCGCAUACAAAGAGAAGCGACCUCGCGAGAGCAAGCGGACCUCAUAAAGUGCGUCGUAGUCCGGAUUGGAGUCUGCAACUCGACUCCAUGAAGUCGGAAUCGCUAGUAAUCGUGGAUCAGAAUGCCACGGUGAAUACGUUCCCGGGCCUUGUACACACCGCCCGUCACACCAUGGGAGUGGGUUGCAAAAGAAGUAGGUAGCUUAACCUUCGGGAGGGCGCUUACCACUUUGUGAUUCAUGACUGGGGUGAAGUCGUAACAAGGUAACCGUAGGGGAACCUGCGGUUGGAUCACCUCCUUACCUUAAAGAA
RNAcentral lists this ribosomal RNA (503 nucleotides) under Escherichia coli. Its description in RNAcentral is "bacterial SSU rRNA". It matches the Rfam family "Bacterial small subunit ribosomal RNA", at positions 1040 to 1533 of the family's 1533-position model. Lineage: Bacteria; Pseudomonadati; Pseudomonadota; Gammaproteobacteria; Enterobacterales; Enterobacteriaceae. The record is from RNAcentral.